RNAcentral lists this ribosomal RNA (500 nucleotides) under uncultured bacterium. RNAcentral describes it as "partial 16S ribosomal RNA". It matches the Rfam family "Bacterial small subunit ribosomal RNA", at positions 30 to 523 of the family's 1533-position model. The record is from RNAcentral.
AUUGAACGCUGGCGGCAUGCCUUACACAUGCAAGUCGAACGGCAGCACGGGAGCAAUCCUGGUGGCGAGUGGCGAACGGGUGAGUAAAGUAUCGGAACGUGCCCAGUCGUGGGGGAUAACGUAGCGAAAGUUACGCUAAUACCGCUUACGAUCUAUGGAUGAAAGCGGGGGAUCGCAAGACCUCGCGCGAUUGGAGCGGCCGAUAUCAGAUUAGGUAGUUGGUGGGGUAAAGGCUCACCAAGCCGACGAUCUGUAGCUGGUCUGAGAGGACGACCAGCCACACUGGGACGGGGACACGGCCCAGACUCCUACGGGAGGCAGCAGUGGGGAAUUUUGGACAAUGGGCGAAAGCCUGAUCCAGCCAUGCCGCGUGCAGGAUGAAGGCCUUCGGGUUGUAAACUGCUUUUGUACGGAACGAAAAGGUUUGGCCUAAUAAGCUGAGCUCAUGACGGUACCAUAAGAAUAAGCACCGGCUAACUACGUGCCAGCCGCCGCAGUAA